RNAcentral lists this ribosomal RNA (407 nucleotides) under uncultured bacterium. Its description in RNAcentral is "bacterial SSU rRNA". It matches the Rfam family "Bacterial small subunit ribosomal RNA", at positions 355 to 776 of the family's 1533-position model. The record is from RNAcentral.
UGGGGAAUAUUGCGCAAUGGGGGAAACCCUGACGCAGCAACGCCGCGUGAAGGAUGAAGGUUUUCGGAUUGUAAACUUCUUUGACGAGGGACGAAAUAAAUGACGGUACCUCGAAAACAAGCUCCGGCUAACUACGUGCCAGCAGCCGCGGUAAUACGUAGGGAGCGAGCGUUGUCCGGAUUUACUGGGUGUAAAGGGCGAGUAGGCGGGAUUGCAAGUCAGAUGUGAAAUCUAUCGGCUUAACCGAUAGACUGCAUUUGAAACUGCGGUUCUUGAGUGAUGGAGAGGCAGGCGGAAUUCCUAGUGUAGCGGUGAAAUGCGUAGAUAUUAGGAGGAACACCAGUGGCGAAGGCGGCCUGCUGGACAUUAACUGACGCUGAGGCGCGAAAGCGUGGGGAGCAAACAGG